This is a long non-coding RNA of Cervus elaphus (red deer), 982 nucleotides long. RefSeq lists it as uncharacterized. The transcript is spliced from 4 exons. The record is from RefSeq and is a predicted model, not a curated record. NCBI's taxonomy places the organism in Eukaryota, Metazoa, Chordata, Mammalia, Artiodactyla, Cervidae.
CGGAUGGGAGGUUGAUACCAGGACAGGUUAAGUAUAAGCCUGAAACCAGGGAGAAUACGAGCGGUAAUGAAAGCUCUUGAACACUCAGAAACCGUUGUCUUGUCAGAUCUGUCCUACUGAAGGCAUGUGGGAUCUUACCUCUCCAACCGGGGAUCAAACCUGCACCUGCUGUAUUGGAAACUGAAGUCUUAACUACUGGACCACCAGGGAAGUUCCACUCUUGAGCCUUUAAAUGUGCCAAUCCAAAUUGAGAUGUGAUGAGGCACAUAGGAUCUUAGCUCUCCCACCACGGAUGGAACCCCCACCCCUUGCACUGGAAGGAGAAGUCUUAACCACUGGACCACCAGGGAAGUCCUCUGCUGUUCCCUCUAUGGGGACACCACAUGGCUGCUCUCUCUGGAGUCCUCAGAGCAUCUCUCCAAGGGCACUUUCUCAAUGAAGCCUUCUUGGACCACACUAGUCACACUGGGACCUCACAACACUCUCUUUCCCCCUCCUCUGCUUGUUAUUCUCCAUAGCAUGUAUCACUUCCUUCCGCGGCUCCGCCUUUGGGCUGUUUAUUGGAAAUUCUUCUACCGGGCUCAGUCUUUUUAAGCCGCCGCAUACUUUCAACGGGAGGAUGGCGCUCACAGCUCCCGGUUCUCUUCCCUCGGGGACUCCGUCGUAUUUUUUUCACGCUUCGUCGCUACUACAGCAGACGCCUGCCCUCUCACUAUUUACCCCGCAGUUCUCCGGUGCCUUGACUGUAAACAAAACACUUUAGAUCAUAGCAAGGUCGGAGUAAGCACAGCCUUUCUGCUGGCAGCCAGACGUCUUAAGGUGGCGUCACUGUGACUCGUUUGGUUUUCAAGAUUAACAAAGCGACAAAAUGGUGGUCCUACAUAUUAGUUAAAGAAAUAUUAAGGGUGCGUAGGGGAUGAAAGCAUCCAUUUUUUACUUCUCUGGAAGCUAUUAAUUCCACGAAUAAAAUCAAACAUUUGUG